This 423-nucleotide long non-coding RNA is filed under the name Eucalyptus grandis. RNAcentral describes it as "long non-coding RNA (EGRA_LNC000421)". The record is from RNAcentral. Lineage: Eukaryota; Viridiplantae; Streptophyta; Magnoliopsida; Myrtales; Myrtaceae.
CCAACUGGGUUGAAAUCUUUGCUCAUCAGAUAGAGAAGGAAGGGGGGAGGGGAGGGAGAAUGAUGGAGUUGAAAAGGCGAGAGUGAGAGAGGGGGAGGGAGAAUGAUGGAGUAGAAAAGGCGAGGCCCGAAGGGAGAGACGGGUGCUUGACCUUUGGGGCAUCGGAUCUCAUCAUCACCCUCUGCCUUUCUAUGCUACAGUAGGGUUUUCGGAAGGUGCCAUGUGCGAUGCCAGGUCCCAGGAACUGCCGCAGAUGACACACUUGAUGACAUGUUUGAUGACAGCUCGCUCUCUUUUCCACCCCACCACCCCCCGGCGGCGGUAAGUGGAAUGCAGUGUUUGGCAUGGCGCGAUUGGUGGGGGAGCCCGAGAAAGACUUUGGGUUGACGGCGGUGGAGAUGAGACUCGAUCCGGAGGUUGGAC